This 449-nucleotide ribosomal RNA is filed under the name uncultured bacterium. RNAcentral's name for it is "partial 16S ribosomal RNA". It matches the Rfam family "Bacterial small subunit ribosomal RNA", at positions 29 to 523 of the family's 1533-position model. The record is from RNAcentral.
AACGAACGCUGGCGGCAGGCCUAACACAUGCAAGUCGAACGGUUCCUUCGGGGACAGUGGCAGACGGGUGAGUAACGCGUGGGAAUCUACCUUGUGGUACGGAACAACCAAGGGAAACUUUGGCUAAUACCGUAUGAGCCCUUCGGGGGAAAGGUUUAUCGCCAUAAGAUGAGCCCGCGUAGGAUUAGCUAGUUGGUGAGGUAAAGGCUCACCAAGGCGACGAUCCUUAGCUGGUCUGAGAGGAUGACCAGCCACACUGGGACUGAGACACGGCCCAGACUCCUACGGGAGGCAGCAGUGGGGAAUAUUGGACAAUGGGCGCAAGCCUGAUCCAGCCAUGCCGCGUGUGUGAUGACGGCCUUAGGGUUGUAAAGCACUUUCGCCGAUGAAGAUAAUGACUGUAGUCGGAGAGGAAGCCCCGGCUAACUUCGUGCCAGCCGCCGCGGUAA